This 1355-nucleotide ribosomal RNA is filed under the name uncultured bacterium. RNAcentral's name for it is "bacterial SSU rRNA". It matches the Rfam family "Bacterial small subunit ribosomal RNA", at positions 18 to 1395 of the family's 1533-position model. The record is from RNAcentral.
CCUGGCUCAGGACGAACGCUGGCGGCGCGCCUAACACAUGCAAGUCGAACGAGCGAGAGAGAGCUUGCUUUCUCAAGCGAGUGGCGAACGGGUGAGUAACGCGUGAGGAACCUGCCUCAAAGAGGGGGACAACAGUUGGAAACGACUGCUAAUACCGCAUAAGCCCACGGCUCGGCAUCGAGCAGAGGGAAAAGGAGCAAUCCGCUUUGAGAUGGCCUCGCGUCCGAUUAGCUAGUUGGUGAGGUAAUGGCCCACCAAGGCGACGAUCGGUAGCCGGACUGAGAGGUUGAACGGCCACAUUGGGACUGAGACACGGCCCAGACUCCUACGGGAGGCAGCAGUGGGGAAUAUUGCACAAUGGGGGAAACCCUGAUGCAGCGACGCCGCGUGGAGGAAGAAGGUCUUCGGAUUGUAAACUCCUGUUGUUGAGGAAGAUAAUGACGGUACUCAACAAGGAAGUGACGGCUAACUACGUGCCAGCAGCCGCGGUAAAACGUAGGUCACAAGCGUUGUCCGGAAUUACUGGGUGUAAAGGGAGCGCAGGCGGGAAGACAAGUUGGAAGUGAAAUCCAUGGGCUCAACCCAUGAACUGCUUUCAAAACUGUUUUUCUUGAGUAGUGCAGAGGUAGGCGGAAUUCCCGGUGUAGCGGUGGAAUGCGUAGAUAUCCGGAGGAACACCAGUGGGGAAGGCGGCCUACUGGGCACCCACUGACGCUGAGGCUCGAAAGUGUGGGUAGCAAACAGGAUUAGAUACCCUGGUAGUCCACACUGUAAACGAAGAAUACAAGUGUUGGAGGAUUGACCCCUUCAGUGCCGCAGUUAACACAAUAAGUAAUCCACCUGGGGAGUACGACCGCAAGGUUGAAACUCAAAGGAAUUGACGGGGGCCCGCACAAGCAGUGGAGUAUGUGGUUUAAUUCGACGCAACGCGAAGAACCUUACCAAGUCUUGACAUCCCUUGACGAUGCUGGAAACAGUAUUUCUCUUCGGAGCAAGGAGACAGGUGGUGCAUGGUUGUCGUCAGCUCGUGUCGUGAGAUGUUGGGUUAAGUCCCGCAACGAGCGCAACCCUUAUGGUCAGUUACUACGCAAGAGGACUCUGGCCAGACUGCUGUUGACAAAACGGAGGAAGGUGGGGAUGACGUCAAAUCAUCAUGCCCUUUAUGACUUGGGCUACACACGUACUACAAUGGCGUUAAACAAAGAGAAGCAAGACCGCGAGGUGGAGCAAAACUCAGAAACAACGUCCCAGUUCGGACUGCAGGCUGCAACUCGCCUGCACGAAGUCGGAAUUGCUAGUAAUCGCAGAUCAGCAUGCUGCGGUGAAUACGUUCCCGGGCCUUGUACACACCGCCC